RNAcentral lists this ribosomal RNA (497 nucleotides) under uncultured bacterium. Its description in RNAcentral is "partial 16S ribosomal RNA". It matches the Rfam family "Bacterial small subunit ribosomal RNA", at positions 28 to 507 of the family's 1533-position model. The record is from RNAcentral.
GAUGAACGCUGGCGGCGUGCCUAAUACAUGCAAGUCGAGCGAACAGACGAGGAGCUUGCUCCUCUGACGUUAGCGGCGGACGGGUGAGUAACACGUGGAUAACCUACCUAUAAGACUGGGAUAACUUCGGGAAACCGGAGCUAAUACCGGAUAAUAUAUUGAACCGCAUGGUUCAAUAGUGAAAGACGGUUUUGCUGUCACUUAUAGAUGGAUCCGCGCCGCAUUAGCUAGUUGGUAGGGUAACGGCUUACCAAGGCAACGAUGCGUAGCCGACCUGAGAGGGUGCUCGGCCACACUGGAACUUGGACACGGUCCAGACUCCUACGGGAGGCAGCAGUAGGGAAUCUUCCGCAAUGGGCGAAAGCUUGACGGAGCAACGCCGCGUGAGUGAUGAAGGUCUUCGGAUCGUAAAACUCUGUUAUUAGGGAAGAACAAAUGUGUAAGUAACUAUGCACGUCUUGACGGUACCUAAUCAGAAAGCCACGGCUAACUACGUG